This 403-nucleotide ribosomal RNA is filed under the name uncultured bacterium. Its description in RNAcentral is "partial 16S ribosomal RNA". It matches the Rfam family "Bacterial small subunit ribosomal RNA", at positions 30 to 526 of the family's 1533-position model. The record is from RNAcentral.
AUUGAACGCUGGCGGCAGGCCUAACACAUGCAAGUCGAGCGAGCGGCGGACGGUGGAGUAAUGUAUGGGGACUGCCCGUUAGCGGGCGAUAACUACGGGAAACGGUAGCUAAUACCGCAUACUAUCGGAUAACCCAUAUGGGAUUAGCUGGUAGGUGAGGUACUGGCUCACCUAGGCGACGAUCCCUAGCUGGUCUGAGAGGAUGAUCAGCCACACUGGGACUGAGACACGGCCCAGACGCCUACGGAGGCAGCAGUGGGGAAUAUUGCACAAUGGGCGCAAGUCUGAUGCAGUCAUGCCGCGUGUAUGAAGAAGGCCCUAGGGUUGUAAAGUACUGUCAGUCGGGAGGCGUUACCGACAGAAGAAGCACCGGCUAACUCCGUGCCAGCAGCCGCGGUAAUUC